Molecule: long non-coding RNA, 447 nt
Organism: Chiroxiphia lanceolata (lance-tailed manakin)
Lineage: Eukaryota; Metazoa; Chordata; Aves; Passeriformes; Pipridae
Exons: 5
Source: RefSeq, a predicted model, not a curated record
CACUGGGCAGAUUGCAACCCCCGCACUUGGAGACAUGACAGAAUAAGGCUUGAUGGGACAUGAUUCAGGCAGAUUGGGCUUCAGGCAAAACUGCCUCCAGUGCAAGAGAUGAAGGUUCCCUGUUGGUUUGAUUGAACAGCUCAUGGACUUGCAAAUUUGAGCUUAAAGUGUUGUAAUUUAUUCAGUAACAGAUUCAGUGGUCCAGCCUAACAGAUUUUGUGUGGUGUCAUGGAAGAUAACUCUCUCUCUGAUGUCUCCACGAUGAGCUGCUGCAUUAGGCUGACUUUUUUUUUUCAGGAUGUUGGGACAUACAGGGAGAUGGAUAUAUCCUGUGCCUUGUUCUCCAUGCUGCAGUAGAAGGAAGGGACCUGAGGAGCUGAGGAAUUUAAUCUGCUUUGCCAUGCAUGAUAUUUUCUUUGUCGAAAAAUUAUCUCCAUAAUAAAUCAA